UAUGCCUCCAACCCUGCUGGCUCAAUGGCAGCAGGGUCUGGGGGAGAAACUUCAGUCUCAGGAGACAAAUAACUAAGAUGUUUGCAAUCUCAUCCCUGGGAUCUAUUUCCUCCAGAAAGUGAGAACAAUCGAAAGGUUGAAGGCCAAGAAAGAGGGGGAAGGGAGUGAAUGGGUGUGGCAGGCUGACGGGAGCCAGCCCGGAAGACUACAGAAGGGAGAUCAGCACUUCUCCACAGGCUGCUGGAAGAAAUCUGCACCUCUGCAUCCCCCGACCCCCUGAAAAUGCUUUCCACGCUCCUGACAGUCAAUUUCCAUCCAUCUGUCAUUGCGAAUCUUCGUGGUCCAGAAACACUUAGCGAAAAGAAGCCUAAGUACACAUUCCUGGAAGUUAAAGAGCUUCUCCUGAGAGUCAGCUGGAAGCCUUUGACAGCUAGACAUUGGGGGCUUGGUGCUCUUCAUGACACAUGAAUCAGUCACACCAACCACUGUCGGCUUUGGAAGUCUAUGCUGAAUUCCAAAACAUUUGGCAAUUUCAACUGCAUUAAUGGAAUUUCCUGAAAUAUGAUGAAAACCUGUGAAUUCAGCAGUUCUUAUUUUGAAGAUGUUUAAUCCAAGUAUAACUUCUUUGAAGAAGUUUCGUGAAUGGGGACAACAUUAAAUAAUAGUCAACUCGGUAAGGUGCUACCAAAUUAAGUAACUCAACUGAAGUGACAAUCAGACGAAGAAAGGCAGGUCACACUUUGUGCUGGGAUUGGCUGGUGGUAACUGUCUGUCAUAGCUGAUUCUGGGGCUGAGCAGAUAUCAAGUUUCUUUUGACAUGGAUUAUAAGACACAACUCCUUUUCAUAAGAACAUUAAACAUGUGAACUACUGAAUUUCAGAUUGAAGGAAAUAGGGUAUUUUGGAACUAGAAUCUCCCUUUUUUCUAAGCAAGAAGUCAACCUCUUACAUGGCAGGAGCCUGCCCCCUUCACCCCUCUAGACUGGUUUUCUUUCCUCUUAUCCUAGACUUCCAAAUACUCUCCCCUGCUCCAGUUACCCUCAUGUCCCUCUAAUCCAAAUACAGCAACUGUAAAGUAAACACAGUGUAAGGGUGUGGCCUCUGCUUGAAAGUGGAAUUGCCUCAUACUUAUUGUCACCAUUCAUUAGUCUUAUGACCAUGAGUACAUUAUUCUGAGUUCAAUUUCUCCUCCAAAAAAAUGAAGAUAAUAGUGCCUACCUCUUGGGUUUUUAGGAAGAUUAUGUGAGAGAAUACAUAGAAACAAUUUAACAUAUAGUCUUGCCCCAGUGAUUUAGCCAAGGAUGUUAGCUGCAGUUAUUACUAUUACUAUUACAGGAUAUUGGUUAAUAUUGACAUUAAAUAUUAAUAUUAUUAUCAUAGUAGUAGAUCUCUUACUAACCAAGAUCCCUAGUUGACUGAUGAAGUUAAAGAGUCAAAUCAAGUGAGGAAUUAAUAAUAAUAAUAAUUAUAAUAACAAUAUAUUCAAACAUCUAACUCUGCCUACAUUGGAUAGCUUGCAGCAGAUCAUUUAUGCCAAGAAAAAACUAGAAGGGCUGAUUAAAAUGCAAAUACAAAUCUGUUCAAAGUCUCCUGGAAGUUGCUGAUGCAGCCAGUACAGGAGAAUUCAAGAUCCUGGAGAGCAGGUAACCACAGACAGGUGAGCCAACAAUCCCUCUCUCUUUCCCCCUCAUGGCAUUUGCAAGGUGUACAGGCAGAGGACAACUGUUAAGGGCAGUGAUGCCAGGAAGGUUUUCAAAAAUCUCACAGAGCUGGAAAGAUAAAAGGUUAUAGUGUAUGGCUUCCAACCAAGUGAAGAAUUGAGAGUCCAAGGUCUCUGAGAAAAGACAGGCAUAGAGAAGCAAGCACAGCCCUCUUUUUCCUCAAAGCUUUUGUCCAGAACAGAAGCUUAAGAUGUGGAACAGAAAUGUGAUGAAAAUUUUAAUCCAGGAUUCUGUUGACUGUGUAAGAUUCUAAUACAGAAGCUCGAUAAUCAAGGAUUUUGUUUUGUUUGCAUUUAAAAUUCAGUUUUGAAGAGAAUUAGAGUAGAAGAUUUCCAGAGUUCAUGUUCUUACUAGGCUGUAUGGAGUUGGUAGCCCAGGCUUUAAUCUUGAUCUCUUUAGUACAUUUUGGCUUAACUACAUUUUCAGGAAUCAAAGACUCCUGGAGUUUGCCUAAAAUAGUACUAUAUCUUAUUUGGAAGUUAAGUCUGUAAUUAAAAACCUCCCCUCAAAAAUGUCUCUGUGCCCAGAUGACUUCACUGGUGAAUUCUUCUAAAUAUUUAAAGAAGAAAUAACACUAAUCUUAAACAUCUCUUCCAAAUAAAAUAUAAAAAACAAAACUUUUUUCCCCGGCUUAUCUUAUCAUGUCAGCAGAGUCUUGAAAACAAACCUAGCAAGGACAUUAUAAGAAUUGAAAAUUACAGUUCAAUAUCUCUCAUAAACAUAGAAAAAUCAAAACCAAAUGUUGUUGUCCAACCGUAUAUAAAAAGAAUGAUGUGUAACAACCAAGUUUGGUUUAUUUCAAUAAUGCAAGGUUGGUUUUAUGUUCAAAAUUCAUCAAUCAAUGUAAUUUACCAAUUAAUUUUAUAUAGGAGAAAAAUCAUAGGAUUAUCUCAAUAAAUGAAUAAAAGUCAUGUAUAAAGCCAA
Mustela lutreola (European mink) is the source of this 2644-nucleotide long non-coding RNA. RefSeq lists it as uncharacterized. The transcript is spliced from 2 exons. The record is from RefSeq and is a predicted model, not a curated record. NCBI's taxonomy places the organism in Eukaryota, Metazoa, Chordata, Mammalia, Carnivora, Mustelidae.